UACGUAGGAUGCGGGCGUUAUCCGGAUUUAUUGGGUUUAAAGGGUGCGCAGGCGGCACGGCAAGCCGGCGGUCAAAUCGCGGGGCUCAACCCCGCCCAGCCGUCGGAACUGCCGGGCUAGAGUGGGCGAGAAGUGCGCGGAAUGCGUGGUGUAGCGGUGAAAUGCAUAGAUAUCACGCAGAACUCCGAUUGCGAAGGCAGCGCACCGGCGCCCUACUGACGCUCAGGCACGAAAGCGUGGGUAUCGAACAGG
RNAcentral lists this ribosomal RNA (252 nucleotides) under uncultured bacterium. RNAcentral describes it as "partial 16S ribosomal RNA". It matches the Rfam family "Bacterial small subunit ribosomal RNA", at positions 524 to 776 of the family's 1533-position model. The record is from RNAcentral.